Molecule: ribosomal RNA, 229 nt
Filed under: uncultured bacterium
Lineage: Bacteria
Description: partial 16S ribosomal RNA
Rfam family: Bacterial small subunit ribosomal RNA
Source: RNAcentral
UGCGCAGGCGGACUUUUAAGUCAGUGGUGAAAUCCCGAGGCUCAACCUCGGAACUGCCAUUGAUACUGGAAGUCUCGAAUUUGGUUGAAGUGGGCGGAAUGUAGCAUGUAGCGGUGAAAUGCUUAGAUAUGCUACAGAACACCGAUCGCGAAGGCAGCUCACUAAGCCAAUAUUGACGCUCAGGCACGAAAGCGUGGGGAGCAAACAGGAUUAGAUACCCUGGUAGUCC